Molecule: non-coding RNA, 71 nt
Organism: Hypoxylon fuscum
Lineage: Eukaryota; Fungi; Ascomycota; Sordariomycetes; Xylariales; Hypoxylaceae
Source: the annotation of a GenBank genome assembly
GCAUCAGUGGUUUAGUGGUAAAAUCCAUCUUUCCCAAGGAUGGGCCCCGUGUUCGAUUCACGGCUGAUGCA